This 21-nucleotide non-coding RNA is filed under the name Caenorhabditis elegans. The record is from RNAcentral. Lineage: Eukaryota; Metazoa; Nematoda; Chromadorea; Rhabditida; Rhabditidae.
UCGAAAGUCGAUGGUGCACAA